RNAcentral lists this ribosomal RNA (253 nucleotides) under uncultured bacterium. RNAcentral's name for it is "partial 16S ribosomal RNA". It matches the Rfam family "Bacterial small subunit ribosomal RNA", at positions 524 to 776 of the family's 1533-position model. The record is from RNAcentral.
GACGAACCGUGCGAACGUUGUUCGGAAUCACUGGGCAUAAAGGGCGCGUAGGCGGCUCUCCAAGUCGGGGGUGAAAUCCGGCAGCUUAACUGUCGAAGUGCCUUUGAUACUGGGGAGCUCGAGGGAGGUAGGGGUCUGUGGAACUUCCGGUGGAGCGGUGAAAUGCGUUGAUAUCGGAAGGAACGCCGGUGGCGAAAGCGACGGACUGGACCUCUUCUGACGCUGAGGCGCGAAAGCGUGGGGAGCGAACAGG